CAGUCGCCGCGGUAAUACGAAGGGUGCGAGCGUUAAUCGGAAUUACUGGGCGUAAAGCGUGCGCAGGCGGUUAUAUAAGACAGAUGUGAAAUCCCCGGGCUCAACCCGGGACCUGCAUUUGUGACUGUAUAGCUAGAGUACGGUAGAGGGGGAUGGAAUUCCGCGUGUAGCAGUGAAAUGCGUAGAUAUGCGGAGGAACACCGAUGGCGAAGGCAAUCCCCUGGACCUGUACUGACGCUCAUGCACGAAAGCGUGGGGAGCAAACAGGAUUAGAUACCCCCGUAGUCCCUGUCUCUUAUAC
Molecule: ribosomal RNA, 301 nt
Filed under: uncultured bacterium
Lineage: Bacteria
Description: partial 16S ribosomal RNA
Rfam family: Bacterial small subunit ribosomal RNA
Source: RNAcentral